RNAcentral lists this long non-coding RNA (361 nucleotides) under Homo sapiens (human). RNAcentral's name for it is "HSALNT0328836". Lineage: Eukaryota; Metazoa; Chordata; Mammalia; Primates; Hominidae. The record is from RNAcentral.
UAGAUUUCUCUCUUCUUUGGCUCCAAUAAUUUGUGCCCAAACUUCAGACCAGUAAUUCCCCAGAUGAGCCUGCUGCUACCCUACUUGCGUCUUACUUUUGCAAGCUGUUUCCAUUCUUAUUAGGCUAAUAACUGAAGACAGGAUCAAGAUAUCUUUCUAACCUAUCCAAAAUACCUGAAUAUUCUGUCACAUUCAACAAUUUACAGUGAAGAAGAAGAAUCAAGUGUACAUCCCAAUCUGAAUUACUGCAUUCAAAGAAAAAUUACCACUGCUAGCCACUCUACAAGAAUAGCACAGCCCUGGUAGAACUUUUAAAGUAACAGGAGAAAGGAAGAGAAGAAAGGAUAAAAAGGAAAAAGAA